RNAcentral lists this ribosomal RNA (499 nucleotides) under uncultured bacterium. RNAcentral's name for it is "partial 16S ribosomal RNA". It matches the Rfam family "Bacterial small subunit ribosomal RNA", at positions 28 to 507 of the family's 1533-position model. The record is from RNAcentral.
GACGAACGCUGGCGGCGUGCCUAAUACAUGCAAGUCGAGCGGACUGAAUGGGAGCUUGCUCUUGUUCGGUCAGCGGCGGACGGGUGAGUAACACGUGGGCAACCUGCCCGCAAGACCGGGAUAACUCCGGGAAACCGGAGCUAAUACCGGAUAACACCCAAGACCGCAUGGUCUUUGGUUGAAAGGCGGCGCACGCUGCCACUUGCGGAUGGGCCCGCGGCGCAUUAGCUAGUUGGUGAGGUAACGGCUCACCAAGGCGACGAUGCGUAGCCGGCCUGAGAGGGUGACCGGCCACACUGGGACUGAGACACGGCCCAGACUCCUACGGGAGGCAGCAGUAGGGAAUCUUCCGCAAUGGGCGAAAGCCUGACGGAGCGACGCCGCGUGAGCGAAGAAGGCCUUCGGGUCGUAAAGCUCUGUUGUGAGGGACGAAGGAGCGCCGUUUGAAGAAGGCGGCGCGGUGACGGUACCUCACGAGGAAGCCCCGGCUAACUACGUG